RNAcentral lists this long non-coding RNA (1031 nucleotides) under Setaria viridis. RNAcentral describes it as "long non-coding RNA (SVIR_LNC001414)". Lineage: Eukaryota; Viridiplantae; Streptophyta; Magnoliopsida; Poales; Poaceae. The record is from RNAcentral.
AAGGACAUCCAAACAUUGCAGGUUAUGUCAUCAUGAUUUAGGUUCAUGCAGGACAGAUAAAAGAAAGAUCAGUUGCACAUCCAAAUGGAACACCUAGCUAAUUUAUUCUUCAGAUUCUGGUUUAUUAUUUAGUCCAAAAAGGGUGAUUGUGGGUGCAAUUUUGUUAUCAGUUUCAGGGGUACCUAAUCAAUGUGAAAUAAUUUAAAAAUUCUGAUGAUAUACUGCUCAAUAUAAUCUAUGCAUACAUUUUGAAGUUCAAAUUCGUAAUGUUGAGAGAGUAACCAAAAUAAGAAAAAAAAUCUGAAAAAUGAUAAAUCAAAAGUAAGAUGAAAAGUAUGAGAACUAAAUGCUGCUAGAAUGCUCCAUAGACCACAAUUUUUUUUUAUGAAUUUUGUCAUGUUGAUUUGUUUGCUCAAACCGUAAGAGAGUCCUUGGUCACACAUCUAAUGGUGAUGGAGGUUGAUAUCUCCCCAAAACUAUCAGAUGGACAUAUCCAAAUGCCGGUCAUGUUGAUUUGUUUGCUCAAACCGUAAGAGAGUCCUUGGUCACACAUCUAAUGGUGAUGGAGGUUGAUAUCUCCCCAAAACUAUCAGAUGGACAUAUCCAAAUGCCGAUUUCAAACGUAGAUUUGUUGUCUUUGUUAUAUAGGAGGUGACUACCACUUUGAUUAUAUGGAUACAGUAAACAGGAGGGAUCACAUGGCCUCUUAAAUAGUUCAUUCAAUGCUCAUGUAGGCAUUUGCGUUAACUUACAUUAUAUAUCUCAGCUAUAUAUUUCAUUAAAUCACUACCAGUUGCAGUAAGUUCUUACAAUUGCUAGUAUGAUACCAAGUACCACCAUGGUGUUUAUGAACUAUGUGAACCAGCUUAUAUGGAGUUUUCAUUUGGUAUUCAUUCUGAUAUACAAGGAGACUAAAGUAAACUGAUCUUUUCUGAACUUAGUUUCCUGAUUUUAAACAUACACAACCGUAAUACUUUCCUCAAAGAACAAAAUUCUUUUAUCUUACUGUCCUUAUAAAAAUUAUGAUGUGU